RNAcentral lists this long non-coding RNA (1105 nucleotides) under Macaca mulatta (Rhesus monkey). Its description in RNAcentral is "lncRNA (ENSMMUG00000064794.1)". Lineage: Eukaryota; Metazoa; Chordata; Mammalia; Primates; Cercopithecidae. The record is from RNAcentral.
GCCGAAGUGUGUAUUCACCUGAUGGAUAAACAAAAAACAGAUUUUUUUUUUUUUUGCUUCAAUUUUUCUCUCAUGUGCAGCUAGCAGGAAAUUUUCUGGACUAAAGGCAGAUUGCUUAAGUACAGUAGAAUUAGACGCUGUGGAGUCCCAACCUUUGUAUUUCUCAUCUAGUGAUAGAAGAUGAACAAACCCAUCAACUGAUUAAUACAAUUCAGUUCUGCUUAAAAUUCACAGAUCUGUUUGGUAUGAGACUGUAUUUAAAAGACUCCUACGUGCCAUUAAGUGUGAAGAAAUCAGUAACUAUUCUUUUCAUCCACAGCGUGUUGAGUUCCCCCCACCCCCAUUUAAAUUUUGCUUAUUAAGUGAGGUCAUUUGGGAGAAGAGUGGCUCUGGUGGGUGGGGAAAAAAAAAUCUAACAGCUCGACUCCCAAGUUGAGAGCUCCAGAUCAUGGGCCAUUCAGUACAAAGCGUUUUAUAUCUUGACUUAUGAGGGGACAAUAGCUGGUCUUACAAAGGCACCACCUGUGAUUUCGCACGGUUGACAUCUUUGUUAAGGAGGAGUCGGAGGGCAGCGGCGAAACAGCACAUGCACGAUCCGGAGCGCGUUACCGUGACCCACCUUCAAGACCGUUUCUCGCCUUCGCGGAGGCCUGGCCAGGUUUUCUGGCUCACAGUUUUUGGAAAGGGUGUGGGGAGAGAGAAAGGAAACGAGCGUCGUACACGCUGGUGGAGCCAAAGCUCUUGGACUUACGGCUUGCCAGCGCCCAGCUGUUCCAUUUUACAGAUGGGUAAAACGGAGGUCAGGUCCCCGGAGUAUCUGGCUCAGCAGGUCGCUUCUGACAAAUCUAUCUAUUUGGGGCAAAUUGUCAGUGAGAAACUUCCGCUCGAACUGCCCUGGACAAAACCGGCUGUUUGAAAAGGGUAAAUCCCGCGGCCCGGCGAGGCCGAACAAUGGGCCGCUGGUGCGGCUGCGGCGGGGGCGGCCGGGCGGGCAGCACAAAGGGCGGAUUAAUUGGGGCCGCGGCUGAGCGGUUCGCGCUAGCUCCACUCAGCCCGCGCCGCGGGGCGCCCCAUUGACUGGGCCCCGAGCCCCACUUUUCACAAA